Molecule: ribosomal RNA, 462 nt
Filed under: uncultured bacterium
Lineage: Bacteria
Description: partial 16S ribosomal RNA
Rfam family: Bacterial small subunit ribosomal RNA
Source: RNAcentral
GACGAACGCUGGCGGCGUGCUUAACACAUGCAGGUCGAACGGAAAGGCCCUUCGGGGUCCUCGCGUGGCGAACGGGUGAGUGACACGUGGGUGAUCUGCCCUGCACUUUGGGAUAAGCCUGGGACACUGGGUCUAAUACCGUAUAGGCCGACGCUCUUCUUAGCGUGUGGUGUCAAUCUUUGGAGGUGUUGGUUGGGCCCGUGGUCUAUGAGCUUGUUGGUCGAGUAAUGGUUUACCAAGUCGAGGCCUGGUAGCCGGCCUGGGAGGGGGACCGGCGACAGGGGGACUGAGGUAGGGACCAGAAGCGAACGGGAGGCAACAGUGGGGAGUAUGGCACAAUGGGCGCAAGCCAGAUGCAGCGACGCCGCGUGAGGGAUGACGGCCUUCGGGUUGUAAACCACUUUCAAUGGGGACGAAGCGCAAGUGACGGUACCUAUAGAAGAAGCACCGGCCAACUACGUG